AGAGUUUGAUCAUGGCUCAGCCUGAACGCUGGCGGCGUGGCUAAGACAUGCAAGUCGAACGGAUGUAGCAAUACAUCAGUGGCGGACGGGUGAGUAAUGAAUCGCUAAUGUGCCCUAGAGCCAGGGAUAGUCAGUCGAAAGAUUGGGUAAUACCUGAUGAAAUGUUCGGUAGGCAUCUACUGAACCUCAAAGCAGCAAUGCACUCCUGGAGCAGGCGAUUUCGUAUCAGCUAGUUGGUGAGGUAACGGCUCACCAAGGCGACGACGCGUAGCCGGGCUGAGAGGUUGGCCGGCCACAUUGGGACUGAGACACUGCCCAGACUCCUACGGGGGGCUGCAGUAACGAAUCUUCCGCAAUGCACGAAAGUGUGACGGAGCGACGCCGCGUGUAGGACGAAGCCCUUCGGGGUGUAAACUACUGUCAGGGGAAAGAAAGUUCUGAUCUACCCCAGAGGAAGGGACGGCUAACUCUGUGCCAGCAGCCGCGGUAAGACAGAGGUCCCGAGCGUUAGGCGGAAUCACUGGGCUUAAAGCGUGUGUAGGCGGAUGCCUAAGUACCUUGUGAAAUCCCACGGCUCAACCGUGGAACUGCUUGGUAUACUGGGUGUCUUGAGCCACUUAGGGGCGACCGGAACAGACGGUGGAGCGGUGAAAUGCGUAGAUAUCGUCUGGAACGCCAAUGGUGAAAACAGGUCGCUGGGAGUGUGCUGACGCUGAGACACGAAAGCCAGGGGAGCAAACGGGAUUAGAUACCCUAGUAGUCC
Molecule: ribosomal RNA, 763 nt
Filed under: uncultured bacterium
Lineage: Bacteria
Description: bacterial SSU rRNA
Rfam family: Bacterial small subunit ribosomal RNA
Source: RNAcentral